AGUGAACGCUGGCGGUAGGCCUAACACAUGCAAGUCGAACGGCAGCACAGUAAGAGCUUGCUCUUACGGGUGGCGAGUGGCGGACGGGUGAGGAAUACAUCGGAAUCUACUUUUUCGUGGGGGAUAACGUAGGGAAACUUACGCUAAUACCGCAUACGACCUACGGGUGAAAGCAGGGGAUCUUCGGACCUUGCGCGAUUGAAUGAGCCGAUGUCGGAUUAGCUAGUUGGCGGGGUAAAGGCCCACCAAGGCGACGAUCCGUAGCUGGUCUGAGAGGAUGAUCAGCCACACUGGAACUGAGACACGGUCCAGACUCCUACGGGAGGCAGCAGUGGGGAAUAUUGGACAAUGGGCGCAAGCCUGAUCCAGCCAUACCGCGUGGGUGAAGAAGGCUUCGGGUUGUAAAGCCCUUUUGUUGGGAAAGAAAAGCAGCAGGUUAAUACCCCGCUGUUCUGACGGUACCCAAAGAAUAAGCACCGGCUAACUUCGUG
RNAcentral lists this ribosomal RNA (491 nucleotides) under uncultured bacterium. RNAcentral describes it as "partial 16S ribosomal RNA". It matches the Rfam family "Bacterial small subunit ribosomal RNA", at positions 29 to 507 of the family's 1533-position model. The record is from RNAcentral.